Molecule: ribosomal RNA, 466 nt
Filed under: uncultured bacterium
Lineage: Bacteria
Description: partial 16S ribosomal RNA
Rfam family: Bacterial small subunit ribosomal RNA
Source: RNAcentral
GAUGAACGCUGGCGGCGUGCUUAACACAUGCAAGUCGAACGAUGAAGCCCAGCUUGCUGGGUGGAUUAGUGGCGAACGGGUGAGUAACACGUGAGUAACCUGCCCUUAACUCUGGGAUAAGCCUGGGAAACUGGGUCUAAUACCGGAUAGGAGCGUCCACCGCAUGGUGGGUGUUGGAAAGAUUUAUCGGUUUUGGAUGGACUCGCGGCCUAUCAGCUUGUUGGUGAGGUAAUGGCUCACCAAGGCGACGACGGGUAGCCGGCCUGAGAGGGUGACCGGCCACACUGGGACUGAGACACGGCCCAGACUCCUACGGGAGGCAGCAGUGGGGAAUAUUGCACAAUGGGCGCAAGCCUGAUGCAGCGACGCCGCGUGAGGGAUGACGGCCUUCGGGUUGUAAACCUCUUUCAGUAGUGAAGAAGCGAAAGUGACGGUACCUGCAGAAGAAGCACCGGCUAACUACGUG